UUGAUCUUCCUCCCAUUUUUAUUGGGCCAAAAAAAAACAUUAAAGAAAUAUUAUUUUCUUCUAAAGAAUGAAAAGAUAACAUUUCCUAAAACUUCAGCUGAAGAACUCAAUUUGCAAGAACUGAAGAAGAGGAUCGAAGAACGGAAGAAAUCGAUUUGUACUAUGAUUUUCAUCACAUUUCUGUCAAACUUCAGCUGAAGAACAACAUUUUCAGCUGAAGAACCGAAGAGCAGUGCGAUUUCUCUGAAGAUGAACUCAAGAAGACGAUUUUCCUCUCAGAGCUUCGUUGUUGAAGAUUGGAGAGCUGAAGAACACGAUUUUCUUCAAAGAUUCCUCAGUAAACUGCCGUUUCAUCAGAUUUCCUAUUGAAAAUUGAAAGAAAAUGCUUCACAAAUCAACUUGCCUCAUGUCUUAAAGCUUUAGGGUUGUUGGAAUAGAGUUUAUCAGCUGAAGCUAAGUCACUUUUAUCUGAAGAACUGAGCUGAAUCUAAAUCGUCUCUCUUCGAAGAACUGAUGUGUUGAAGCUGGCGAUACCUACGACAUUUUGUCCCUUAUAUAGAUUUUGUCAAGUGUAAGUAGCUACCUACAUGAAUUUUGAGAAGGUUUUAAUGUCUGUUUUAAUCUGUUGUCACUGUUUUUUUAGUCUUCCUGAGUUCAUGGUUGUGCUCCCCUUAUGCUUGGUUUGUUCCUUUGUUAACCACAAUGAUUCUGUCUUGUAGCUAUUUGCUGGUAAAAUUUUUCUUUUUUUCGACUAUAGUCUUGAAGUGUCUAGAAGUUAUUUUUUUGUUUCUGUAGUGCAUUUUCAAGUAUAGAUCAGAAACUUUAGUUCAAUAUUGCUUAGUUGUUUUGGGAUCACCUGAUAUUGUUGAGAGAUUAUGAGGAGUUUAAAGUAUGCAUAGAUGCCUUGGUUGCUAAGGUGCAAAAGGUUCCCGAGGGAAGUUGGACGAUGCAGGAUGGGACUCCUUGGACUGGGAAUAAUGUUAUAGAUCAUCCUGGAAAGAUUCAGGUCUUGUUAGGCUAGAAUGGGGGGAUAGAUACUAAUGGUAAAGAAUUACCUCGACUAGUAUAUGUAUCUAGAGAAAAAAGACGUGGAUUUAAACAUCACAAGGAAGCUGGUGCAAUGAAUGCUCUGGUCAGGGUUUCUGUUGUGCUCACUAAUGUUACUUAUAUAUUAAAUUUGGACUAUGAUCACUAUUAACAACAACAAAGCCAGUAGGGAAGUUAUGUGUUUCAUGAUGGAUCCAACGCUUGGGAAGACAGUUAGGUAUGUUCAGUUCCCUCAGAGAUUGUAUGGCAUUGAUAGGAAUGAUCCGUAUGCUAAUAGGAAUACUGUUUCUUUGAUGGGAGGGGAUGGCAUACUCUGUCGGUGCAAGUGCAAAUUAUACACCGCAUGUGACAGUGUUAAUGCUGGUGAGGUCCAGCCCAGGAGCUGUUUGUAAGGCUUUCUCUGAAGCUAUAGCAGAGGAUCUUCGUAAAGGAGGGGUUGCAGAAUGCAGGUAUAACAACACCACUAACAGAAUUCAUUUAUGAUGUCUUGAAAGCUUAGCGGGACCAUGAGAGGGCCAAGUUUUCAUUUCCUCCAUUGACGAAUCUCGAAAGUGUUGGCAAUCAAAUUUAAAUGGUGGCCACAAAUCAGUUCGAUUGAUUGAGGCAAAGAUGAUCAAGAGUUCUUGAACUAUUGUAGAAGUUUGAAUAUAUUUAGUUUUGUGAAAUAAAUAGGUAGUAGUUAAAUUGCUUUAUGACAUAUUUUUUUUUUAUCUGUUUAUUUCAAAUUUAUAAAUUUUAAUUAUUUAUUAGCUAAUUUAAUGUUUAUUUAUUGUAAACCAAUAUUUUAAUUUUCAA
Molecule: RNA transcript, 1842 nt
Organism: Solanum pennellii
Lineage: Eukaryota; Viridiplantae; Streptophyta; Magnoliopsida; Solanales; Solanaceae
Exons: 8
Source: RefSeq, a predicted model, not a curated record